CCUCGGCCUUUGAAACGUUUUAUCGCUUCGAACGUUCUAGCUGGUAUUCGUUAUCGGUUUUUGCGCCGCGAAACUCGAUUUCUCGCGUCCGAUGGAUGCGAAAACCGGACCGGGAACGAAUUUCCCAUGGAAAAGUUUACGGCAAAUCGAUUUCGGUCUACGCCGCUAACAGCGUUAACUCGAGACUGGGGUAGGAUAGCAGAAUCGAGGGUCCGGCAAAUAUGCUAAUGCGUUUUAGCUCGAGUGCGGUGUUUCGCGAUGGCGAGGGUCCUUCCGCGAGGGUAGGACGAGCACGAUGAGAGAAAAGGAGGGAUCGAGUUCGGUGAAAAAUUGCUGCGGAACUACGUGGAUCCAGAUCUUGAAAAUAGUCCUGUACCCGUCAGGGUACACGGUCGACGCGUUCGCCGUCGAGAUUUAUUUCGGCAACGAUCCUCGUAACGAUCGCGGCAGAAGUUUAUCGGAUCGCAUCGUUCGAGACAACUCGUUGGACGACCAACGGAAAUCGUUAUUUCCAUCGAACAAUUUCUUAAGAACGAUUAACGACCAAAGUAAUCCUGCAGUUGCAGUUGCAGUCGCAGUUUUAAAAAGUGGCGUUAAACGCGCGUUCGUCGACUACCGCGGAACCUAGAAAAAACGGAUGAUCGAGUCGUGGAAAAGUGCUAAAAGUGCUCGCGGAGAUCGAAAGCGAGAGAACACGGCAGAGGAAAAACUGUGUUGCAAAGAGGGGGGAGGGCAUAAACGAAGUUCGACGAAUGUCAAGAAAAGAAGCGAAGCGAACGGGUACGAGUACGAGAGAGGAAGAGACGGAGAUGGAGACGGAGAUCGAGGAUCCCGUGAUCCAGGGUGAGAUAGGUGUAGAGUAUUCGCGCAACGGCUCCGCGGAAAUCAAUACUCGCGACGCCGAGGCCGAGGCCGAGGCUCGGGCCGAAGCCGAGGCUGUGGCUGAGGCUGCCGAGAGCGGAGAGCCGAGGGCCGAGGGCCGAGGCUCGAGACGCGGCGUAACAACCCCGUGUCGCGCCGCGUCGCGACGGUGGCGAGCGAAAAAGGUCCUGGGGUUGUCGCGAGGAGAGGGUCCACCGUGAAAUCUCAAAAGAUUAAAUGGAACGCGUACGAGUCGCGAAGCCACACCAGUCAGCCAAAUUUGCUACGACCAAGUACAUGUAAAAAGCUUGGUAGUGUACUUUGCGAGCAAAUUUAUGUCAAUUUUUGUGCAAAAAUACUGCUUUUGGUUCGCAUUUUAUAUGUAUUUCGCUAAAGCCAAAUUCCUGGCAUAAUACGGAAACAGAUGUUCGAUAUUUGGAAGCAGACGCUUCGCGUUGUCGAAUCAAUGGCAAAGUUGGCGCAAUCUUGUAGCGAAACGUUUUAUGCGAAUGGUCGAUAGCACGCUUGCUUCGCGAUUCCACGCGUCGUUCUUGCGCCGGAGCCUCGCCAAUCUGCUCCGCGUCGUUCCAAUUUUCGCGUAUCCACCGCCGAAGCGAGCGUUAACAUUUUACCAGUUAAAAGAGGUUUAAAAGAGCCUUAAAUUCGCCGUAGCGAAUUUUAUCCUUCUUCGCGACAACUGCUUCGAGUUGGACUCGUUACGAAGAUACGGAACGUAAUUCGUCCCGAAAGGGCUAAAGGAAGAAAACUAUUCCGACGCUUCGCGUUCGCAAACGACGCGAAGAAUUUUUAUUUUGCGCAACGACGCGCAACCUUGCGUAAAUUUGUCGAACGCGUCGCAACCGUUUCCACUCGAGUCUCGAUGAAAUUUCUGCGAGAAGUUUUCCAGGACGCCGAUCCAACGCGUCGGAGAAGUUGGCGCAUGUUGGCUGACAUCGUUCUUUAGGCAAGGAGUGGGGGCAGAUGGGAGUCCCGCACAGCGGCGUGGGGCGUCUACCAGGCGAACAUUACAAUUCUGAACUACGAUCAGACAGAGGCUUUACAUUGCGAACCAAGGUUCAGAGAAUUACAAUGUUCACCAGGCAAUUAUUGUAUACAAAAUGAAGACGUACAAAAUAUAUUUUAGAAUCCUCGUUUCUUGUGUUUAAUCAUAGGUACCGCAUUAAGGUCAGCCCAUUCAAGAAAAAUAUGUUUUAUCUGAAUUGCACAUUGAAUCAUAGAAAGGCAAUCUCCUUCAGCAGUGUGCGCAUUUGGAGAAUCGGUACCAAAGAAAUGUUUAUAGAUAGUUCUUAAUUUAAAAUUACUUGGUUUACUAUUUUUUAAAUGUAAUGUUUCCCUUCCUCCAUUAGAGCCUCUAUUCGUCGAUUUUAUAUUAGGUUGUUUAAUAAUACUUCUUUCGGGUCUUCUCUUGUUAAUUUCCCAUUCUUCUUCGUAGUAGUAAUCGAUUCGAGGAGAAUUGGAACAGGCAUCGCCUUCUUCGUUGUCACGCAUGACAGUGUCUAAUGCAUCCGAUAACAUUUCAUUACAACCAUCGUUUAACAAAAUAUCAACAUCUUCAGAAAUACAAGUAGCACCGCUUUUAAUACUACUAAAAUAAUCUUUAAUUAAAAGCAUCAUGUCAAUGCUACAAAUUGCUUUAUCGACAUUCUGUAAUAACAAAAACAAAUUAUAUAAAUACAAGCACAUAAAAAUAAUUAAAAGAUAUUAGACAGAUAAAUGGUAGUAUUAAUAUUAUUAACUGUUUUUUACCACAUUAAUAUUUCCAAGUUCCCAUAAUAAUAUAGGGUAAUCGAAUCCGUCCCCAUUGUACGCGACGAAACAAAUUGGUGGUGUAAGUCGAUUUAUGAAACUUACGAUUAAAUCAUAUGUAUCGCGAGUAAAAGAUCCAACGUCGUUUACGCUUUCAUUCGAUAAGCCUAAAAUAGAAUAAUUGUGAUUAUUAAUAAUUAAGCGAACGAUAAAUUAGUUAAUAAAAUCAGCAGAAAUUAAAGUAUAGCUUAAAAGUUCUUAAUAAUAGUACCGUGCGGUAGUUAGAACAGAACAAUGAAACUUUUUCAAGCGAUUGCAAUGGCUACGUUAUAAAAAGUAGGACCUAACAAGAUUACAUGUUGCAAGAAGCAUCGGUAUCCAUUAAACUAAUGGAUAACGAUAUACUUCUCAAACGUAUGUUCGCGUUAUAACAGCUUGUAGUAAUUUCCAUUAACCGUCUCGAAUGUUUUUCUUCGUAAAAUAUAGGGGAAUUCUUACAUAAUUAUUGUAAUAUGACAAAUAAAAAGUCUAACAACA
Megalopta genalis is the source of this 3165-nucleotide non-coding RNA. The record is from RefSeq and is a predicted model, not a curated record. Lineage: Eukaryota; Metazoa; Arthropoda; Insecta; Hymenoptera; Halictidae.